This 719-nucleotide ribosomal RNA is filed under the name Christiangramia sp. RNAcentral describes it as "bacterial SSU rRNA". It matches the Rfam family "Bacterial small subunit ribosomal RNA", at positions 66 to 776 of the family's 1533-position model. Lineage: Bacteria; Pseudomonadati; Bacteroidota; Flavobacteriia; Flavobacteriales; Flavobacteriaceae. The record is from RNAcentral.
ACGGUAACAGGAAAGAGCUUGCUCUUUUGCUGACGAGUGGCGCACGGGUGCGUAACGCGUAUACAAUCUGCCUUCAAGCGGGGGAUAGCCCAUGGAAACGUGGAUUAAUACCCCAUGGUAUUAUGAUUUCACCUGGAAUUAUAAUUAAACAUUUAUGGCUUGAAGAUGAGUAUGCGUCCUAUUAGCUAGAUGGAGUGGUAACGGCACCCCAUGGCGACGAUAGGUAGGGGUCCUGAGAGGGAGAUCCCCCACACUGGUACUGAGACACGGACCAGACUCCUACGGGAGGCAGCAGUGAGGAAUAUUGGACAAUGGAGGCAACUCUGAUCCAGCCAUGCCGCGUGCAGGAAGACUGCCCUAUGGGUUGUAAACUGCUUUUAUACAGGAAGAAACCUCCCCACGUGUGGGGAGCUGACGGUACUGUAUGAAUAAGGAUCGGCUAACUCCGUGCCAGCAGCCGCGGUAAUACGGAGGAUCCAAGCGUUAUCCGGAAUCAUUGGGUUUAAAGGGUCCGUAGGCGGGUUUAUAAGUCAGUGGUGAAAGUCUGUCGCUUAACGAUAGAAUUGCCAUUGAUACUGUAGAUCUUGAAUUAUUAUGAAGUGGUUGGAAUGAGUAGUGUAGCGGUGAAAUGCAUAGAUAUUACUCAGAACACCUAUUGCGAAGGCAGAUCACUAAUAAUAUAUUGACGCUGAUGGACGAAAGCGUAGGUAGCGAACAGG